This 465-nucleotide ribosomal RNA is filed under the name uncultured bacterium. RNAcentral describes it as "partial 16S ribosomal RNA". It matches the Rfam family "Bacterial small subunit ribosomal RNA", at positions 338 to 795 of the family's 1533-position model. The record is from RNAcentral.
CCUACGGGGGGCAGCAGUAGGGAAUCUUCCACAAUGGGCGAAAGCCUGAUGGAGCAACGCCGCGUGGGUGAAGAAGGUCUUCGGAUCGUAAAACCCUGUUGUUAGAGAAGAAAGUGCGUGAGAGUAACUGUUCACGUUUCGACGGUAUCUAACCAGAAAGCCACGGCGAACUACGUGCCAGCAGCCGCGGUAAUACGUAGGUGGGAAGCGUUAUCCGGAUUUAUUGGGCGUAAGGGGAACGCAGGCGGUCUUUUAAGUCUGAUGUGAAAGGCUUCGGCUUAACCGGAGUAGUGCAUUGGAAACUGGGAGACUUGAGUGCAGAAGAGGAGAGUGGAACUCCAUGUGUAGCGGUGAAAUGCGUAGAUAUAUGGAAGAACACCAGUGGCGAAAGCGGCUCUCUGGUCUGUAACUGACGCUGAGGUUCGAAAGCGUGGGUAGCAAACAGGAUUAGAUACCCGGGUAGUC